This 310-nucleotide long non-coding RNA is filed under the name Salvia miltiorrhiza (redroot sage). RNAcentral's name for it is "long non-coding RNA (SMIL_LNC004270)". The record is from RNAcentral. Lineage: Eukaryota; Viridiplantae; Streptophyta; Magnoliopsida; Lamiales; Lamiaceae.
CGAAGUUUGUAAUAGUUUUUCUAGAUAAAGUUUUUCGUAAGUAUCGGUUGUUUUUUUUUCUUUGUUUUAACUUGGGGGAGUUGGGAGAGGGGGAGCAGUGGGGUUUGAACCCGGAAUCUCACUGUUUACACAUAGAAAGUCGCAUUACUUAGUGUCCCCUUAGGGACAGUAUCGGUGUUGUUGUGUUCUACUUGUAUGGUAAUAUAAUAAAAUAACUAUAUGAUUAUAUUUUUCUAACACAUAAUAAAGUAUGACAAAGAACACAUGGUGUGUAGCUCAUAUAUAAAAUCACAAUUAUAAUAGGGUUGAU